CAUGCAAGUCGAGCGGGCACCUUCGGGUGUCAGCGGCAGACGGGUGAGUAACACGUGGGAACGUGCCCUUUGGUUCGGGACAACUCCGGGAAACUGGAGCUAAUACCGGAUAAGCCCUUCGGGGGAAAGAUUUAUCGCCGAUAGAUCGGCCCGCGUCUGAUUAGCUAGUUGGUGAGGUAAUGGCUCACCAAGGCGACGAUCAGUAGCUGGUCUGAGAGGAUGAUCAGCCACACUGGGACUGAGACACGGCCCAGACUCCUACGGGAGGCAGCAGUGGGGAAUAUUGGACAAUGGGCGAAAGCCUGAUCCAGCCAUGCCGCGUGAGUGAUGAAGGCCUUAGGGUUGUAAAGCUCUUUUGUCCGGGAAGAUAAUGACUGUACCGGAAGAAUAAGCCCCGGCUAACUUCGUGCCAGCAGCCGCGGUAAUACGGAGGGAGCUAGCGUUGUUCGGAAUUACUGGGCGUAAAGCGCACGUAGGCGGCUUUGUAAGUUAGAGGUGAAAGCCCGGGGCUCAACUCCGGAACUGCCUUUAAGACUGCAUCGCUUGAAUCCAGGAGAGGUGAGUGGAAUUCCGAGUGUAGAGGUGAAAUUCGUAGAUAUUCGGAAGAACACCAGUGGCGAAGGCGGCUCACUGGACUGGUAUUGACGCUGA
Molecule: ribosomal RNA, 651 nt
Filed under: uncultured bacterium
Lineage: Bacteria
Description: bacterial SSU rRNA
Rfam family: Bacterial small subunit ribosomal RNA
Source: RNAcentral